RNAcentral lists this small nucleolar RNA (122 nucleotides) under Prolemur simus (greater bamboo lemur). RNAcentral describes it as "Small nucleolar RNA SNORA31 (ENSPSMG00000002934.1)". Lineage: Eukaryota; Metazoa; Chordata; Mammalia; Primates; Lemuridae. The record is from RNAcentral.
AUGUAUCAAUUUGACAGACCUGGAGCAAUUAUUGUCUGCUGCUAACGUUUCAGAUGCAAGUAAAAAGUAUCCUUCCACUUUCUGUCUGACUGGCAGCCAAAAUUGAAUAUGGGGGAAAAUCA